UGCCGGGAACCGUGCGGCAGCAGGUUGGUGAACCCCGCCAGGACCGGAAGGUAGCAACGGUAAGUCGAUUCUCUGUGCGAUACGUUAUUCCCGGCGCCC
This 99-nucleotide signal recognition particle RNA is filed under the name Armatimonadota bacterium. RNAcentral's name for it is "Armatimonadetes bacterium (activated sludge metagenome) signal recognition particle sRNA small type". It matches the Rfam family "Bacterial small signal recognition particle RNA". Rfam says of the family: The signal recognition particle (SRP) is a universally conserved ribonucleoprotein involved in the co-translational targeting of proteins to membranes. Archaeal SRP consists of a 7S RNA and homologues of the eukaryotic SRP19 and SRP54 proteins. In most bacteria, the SRP consists of a 4.5S RNA and the Ffh protein (a homologue of the eukaryotic SRP54 protein). The record is from RNAcentral. Lineage: Bacteria; Bacillati; Armatimonadota.